RNAcentral lists this ribosomal RNA (1469 nucleotides) under Enterobacter sp. MSG6. Its description in RNAcentral is "bacterial SSU rRNA". It matches the Rfam family "Bacterial small subunit ribosomal RNA". The record is from RNAcentral. Lineage: Bacteria; Pseudomonadati; Pseudomonadota; Gammaproteobacteria; Enterobacterales; Enterobacteriaceae.
AUGGCGGAGCUACCAUGCAGUCGAGCGGUAGCACAGAGAGCUUGCUCUCGGGUGACGAGCGGCGGACGGGUGAGUAAUGUCUGGGAAACUGCCUGAUGGAGGGGGAUAACUACUGGAAACGGUAGCUAAUACCGCAUAACGUCGCAAGACCAAAGUGGGGGACCUUCGGGCCUCAUGCCAUCAGAUGUGCCCAGAUGGGAUUAGCUAGUAGGUGGGGUAAUGGCUCACCUAGGCGACGAUCCCUAGCUGGUCUGAGAGGAUGACCAGCCACACUGGAACUGAGACACGGUCCAGACUCCUACGGGAGGCAGCAGUGGGGAAUAUUGCACAAUGGGCGCAAGCCUGAUGCAGCCAUGCCGCGUGUAUGAAGAAGGCCUUCGGGUUGUAAAGUACUUUCAGCGAGGAGGAAGGCAUUAAGGUUAAUAACCUUGGUGAUUGACGUUACUCGCAGAAGAAGCACCGGCUAACUCCGUGCCAGCAGCCCGCGGUAAUACGGAGGGUGCAAGCGUUAAUCGGAAUUACUGGGCGUAAAGCGCACGCAGGCGGUCUGUCAAGUCGGAUGUGAAAUCCCCGGGCUCAACCUGGGAACUGCAUUCGAAACUGGCAGGCUAGAGUCUUGUAGAGGGGGGUAGAAUUCCAGGUGUAGCGGUGAAAUGCGUAGAGAUCUGGAGGAAUACCGGUGGCGAAGGCGGCCCCCUGGACAAAGACUGACGCUCAGGUGCGAAAGCGUGGGGAGCAAACAGGAUUAGAUACCCUGGUAGUCCACGCCGUAAACGAUGUCGACUUGGAGGUUGUGCCCUUGAGGCGUGGCUUCCGGAGCUAACGCGUUAAGUCGACCGCCUGGGGAGUACGGCCGCAAGGUUAAAACUCAAAUGAAUUGACGGGGGCCCGCACAAGCGGUGGAGCAUGUGGUUUAAUUCGAUGCAACGCGAAGAACCUUACCUACUCUUGACAUCCAGAGAACUUAGCAGAGAUGCUUUGGUGCCUUCGGGAACUCUGAGACAGGUGCUGCAUGGCUGUCGUCAGCUCGUGUUGUGAAAUGUUGGGUUAAGUCCCGCAACGAGCGCAACCCUUAUCCUUUGUUGCCAGCGGUUAGGCCGGGAACUCAAAGGAGACUGCCAGUGAUAAACUGGAGGAAGGUGGGGAUGACGUCAAGUCAUCAUGGCCCUUACGAGUAGGGCUACACACGUGCUACAAUGGCAUAUACAAAGAGAAGCGACCUCGCGAGAGCAAGCGGACCUCAUAAAGUAUGUCGUAGUCCGGAUUGGAGUCUGCAACUCGACUCCAUGAAGUCGGAAUCGCUAGUAAUCGUAGAUCAGAAUGCUACGGUGAAUACGUUCCCGGGCCUUGUACACACCGCCCGUCACACCAUGGGAGUGGGUUGCAAAAGAAGUAGGUAGCUUAACCUUCGGGAGGGCGCUUACCACUUUGUGAUUCAUGACUGGGGGAAGUCGAACAAGACAUGCCCA